Molecule: ribosomal RNA, 402 nt
Filed under: uncultured bacterium
Lineage: Bacteria
Description: bacterial SSU rRNA
Rfam family: Bacterial small subunit ribosomal RNA
Source: RNAcentral
UGGGGAAUCUUGCACAAUGGGGGCAACCCUGAUGCAGCGACGCCGCGUGAGCGAUGAAGCCCUUCGGGGCGUAAAGCUCUUUCGACCGGAACGAUAAUGACGGUACCGGGAGAAGAAGCUGCGGCUAACUACGUGCCAGCAGCCGCGGUAAUACGUAGGCAGCAAGCGUUGUUCGGAGUUACUGGGCGUAAAGAGUGCGUAGGCGGUUUUCUAAGUUCGGUGUGAAAUCUCCCGGCUUAACUGGGAGGGUGCGCCGAAGACUGGGAAGCUGGAGUGUGGGAAAGGCAGGCGGAAUUCCUGGUGUAGCGGUGAAAUGCGUAGAUAUCUGGAAGAACACCGGUUGCGAAGGCGGUCUCUUGGUCCGACACUGACGCUGAGGCGCGAAAGCGUGGGGAGCAAACA